This 468-nucleotide ribosomal RNA is filed under the name uncultured bacterium. RNAcentral describes it as "partial 16S ribosomal RNA". It matches the Rfam family "Bacterial small subunit ribosomal RNA", at positions 28 to 507 of the family's 1533-position model. The record is from RNAcentral.
GACGAACGCUGGCGGCGUGCUUAACACAUGCAAGUCGAACGGAAAGGCCCUGCUUUUGUGGGGUGCUCGAGUGGCGAACGGGUGAGUAACACGUGAGUAACCUGCCCUUGACUUUGGGAUAACUUCAGGAAACUGGGGCUAAUACCGGAUAGGAGCUCCUGCUGCAUGGUGGGGGUUGGAAAGUUUCGGCGGUUGAGGAUGGACUCGCGGCUUAUCAGCUUGUUGGUGGGGUAGUGGCUUACCAAGGCUUUGACGGGUAGCCGGCCUGAGAGGGUGACCGGCCACAUUGGGACUGAGAUACGGCCCAGACUCCUACGGGAGGCAGCAGUGGGGAAUAUUGCACAAUGGGCGGAAGCCUGAUGCAGCAACGCCGCGUGCGGGAUGACGGCCUUCGGGUUGUAAACCGCUUUCGCCUGUGACGAAGCGUGAGUGACGGUAAUGGGUAAAGAAGCACCGGCUAGCUACGUG